Dendroctonus ponderosae (mountain pine beetle) is the source of this 580-nucleotide long non-coding RNA. RefSeq lists it as uncharacterized. The record is from RefSeq and is a predicted model, not a curated record. NCBI's taxonomy places the organism in Eukaryota, Metazoa, Arthropoda, Insecta, Coleoptera, Curculionidae. The transcript is spliced from 3 exons.
UGAAAAUGGAAAAAACAUAUUCAUUAAUAACUCGUUUUCACAUUUGUGUUGAAUAGCUCAAGAUGAAAGGUAUAUUUUUGUUAAUUACGAUUUUGGCACUUUUUGCUGUGGCUUAUUCAGCUCUAGCUCGGUAUCCGGUUCGAAAAGAUAAGCCAGGGCAUUGCUGGUCAGAGCUGACCGGCCCAAUGAAAAACGGAGAAGAGCGCCAGAUUCCGAAACAAUGUGUACAAGCGAGUUGCGGUGAGAGCAGGGAUGUGGUAAUCGCAUCAUGUGGGGUUGCUAAAGGACCUAAUGGUGCAUCUGAGACUGACUACUCUAAACCGUAUCCAGAGUGUUGUCCUCAACCAAUAUAACAUCGCACAUCGUUAAAUAACACCUAAAAUAAUACGAAGUAUGACGAUAAAAGGGUUUAUAGAUAUGCUACGAUAUGAAACAUUGUGGUUUUAAUUACUUGAUUAGUUUAGUAAUAAUAUGUGGCUUUUAUUGUCAAUAGCUUGAUUUUUUUACUUUUGCCAAACGUGUCAUCAAAAUACCCAUAAUUCAAUCAAUAAUCAGUAAAAUACAGAUCAUUUUGAAGAUA